RNAcentral lists this ribosomal RNA (253 nucleotides) under uncultured bacterium. RNAcentral describes it as "partial 16S ribosomal RNA". It matches the Rfam family "Bacterial small subunit ribosomal RNA", at positions 524 to 776 of the family's 1533-position model. The record is from RNAcentral.
UACGAAGGGGGCUAGCGUUGUUCGGAAUUACUGGGCGUAAAGGGCGCGUAGGCUGUGCUGUAAGUCAGGCGUGAAAGGCCCGGGCUCAACCUGGGAAUGGCGCAUGAUACUGCGGCGCUGGAAGGCGGGAGAGGAUGGCGGAAUUCCCAGUGUAGAGGUGAAAUUCGUAGAUAUUGGGAAGAACACCCGUGGCGAAGGCAGCCAUCUGGCCCUCAAUUGACGCUGAGGCGCGAAAUCGUGGGGAGCAAACAGG